ACGGCUCAGUAACACGUGGACAACCUACCCAAAGGUCUGGGAUAACUCCGGGAAACUGGGGAUAAUACCGGAUAGGUCAAGAGUACUGGAAGGGUUUUUUGAUUGAAAGCUCUGGCGCCUUUGGAUGGGUCUGCGGCUGAUUAGGUUGACGCCGGUGUAAAGUACCGGCGUGCCGAUUAUCAGUACGGGUUGUGGGAGCAAGAGCCCGGAGAUGGAUUCUGAGACACGAAUCCAGGCCCUACGGGGCGCAGCAGGCGCGAAAACUCUACAAUGCAGGCAACUGCGAUAGGGGAACAUCGAGUGGCAUCUACAUUAGGUGUCUGUCCAGCUGUCUAAAAAACGGCUGUUAGCAAGGGCCGGGCAAGACCGGUGCCAGCCGCCGCGGUAAUACCGGCGGCUCGAGUGGUGGCCGAUAUUAUUGAGUCUAAAGGGUCCGUAGCCGGCUUUGCAAGUCUUGUGGGAAAUCCAGCGGCUUAACCGUUGGGCGUCUGCGGGAUACUACAUUGCUUGGGACUGGGAGAGGUAGGAGGUACUCAGGGGGUAGGAGUGAAAUCCUGUAAUCCUCUGGGGACCACCGGUGGCGAAGGCGUCCUACCAGAACAGGUCCGACGGUGAGGGACGAAAGCUAGGGGCACGAACCGGAUUAGAUACCCGGGUAGUCCCAGCCGUAAACGAUGCCCGCUAGGUGUCACGGCAGUCGUGAACUGCCGUGGUGCCGUAGGGAAGCCGUGAAGCGGGCCACUUGGGAAGUACGACCGCAAGGUUGAAACUUAAAGGAAUUGGCGGGGGAGCAC
This 794-nucleotide ribosomal RNA is filed under the name uncultured Methanosarcinaceae archaeon. RNAcentral describes it as "bacterial SSU rRNA". It matches the Rfam family "Archaeal small subunit ribosomal RNA", at positions 85 to 879 of the family's 1478-position model. Lineage: Archaea; Methanobacteriati; Methanobacteriota; Methanomicrobia; Methanosarcinales; Methanosarcinaceae. The record is from RNAcentral.